UACGUAGGGUGCGAGCGUUGUCCGGAAUUACUGGGCGUAAAGAGCUCGUAGGUGGUUUGUCGCGUCGUCUGUGAAAUUCCUGGGCUUAACUCCGGGCGUGCAGGCGAUACGUGCAUAACUUGAGUACUGUAGGGGAGACUGGAAUUCCUGGUGUAGCGGUGAAAUGCGCAGAUAUCAGGAGGAACACCGGUGGCGAAGGCGGGUCUCUGGGCAGUAACUGACGCUGAUGUGCGAGAGCGUGGGGAUCAAA
RNAcentral lists this ribosomal RNA (250 nucleotides) under uncultured bacterium. RNAcentral's name for it is "partial 16S ribosomal RNA". It matches the Rfam family "Bacterial small subunit ribosomal RNA", at positions 524 to 772 of the family's 1533-position model. The record is from RNAcentral.